AGGAUUAACGCUAGCGGCAGGCCUAAUACAUGCAAGUCGAACGGCAGCGGGUCCAGCAAUGGAUGCCGGCGAGUGGCGCACGGGUGCGUAACACGUAUGCAAUCUACCCUUAACUGGGGGAUAGCCCCGAGAAAUCGGGAUUAAUACCCCAUAAUAUUAUGAAGUGGCAUCAUUUUAUAAUUAAAGUUCCGACGGUUUUGGAUGAGCAUGCGCGACAUUAGCUAGUUGGCGAGGUAACGGCUCACCAAGGCUGCGAUGUCUAGGGGUUCUGAGAGGAUUCACCCCCACACUGGUACUGAGACACGGACCAGACUCCUACGGGAGGCAGCAGUAAGGAAUAUUGGUCAAUGGACGCAAGUCUGAACCAGCCAUGCCGCGUGAAGGAAGACGGCCCUACGGGUUGUAAACUUCUUUUGUACGGGAAAAAACCACCGGUCGUGAACCGGUGCUGAUGGUACCGUAAGAAUAAGCAUCGGCUAACUCCGUG
This 487-nucleotide ribosomal RNA is filed under the name uncultured bacterium. Its description in RNAcentral is "bacterial SSU rRNA". It matches the Rfam family "Bacterial small subunit ribosomal RNA", at positions 26 to 507 of the family's 1533-position model. The record is from RNAcentral.